RNAcentral lists this long non-coding RNA (7387 nucleotides) under Nicotiana tabacum (common tobacco). RNAcentral describes it as "long non-coding RNA (NTAB_LNC010744)". Lineage: Eukaryota; Viridiplantae; Streptophyta; Magnoliopsida; Solanales; Solanaceae. The record is from RNAcentral.
CAAUAGUGGUGGUUCUUGUGUGCACAUAUGUCAUGUCAUUUGCCUGGUCAUGGGGACCUUUGGGCUGGUUGAUUCCAAGUGAGACAUUCCCAAUGGAAACAAGAACAGCUGGUUUCGCUUUUGCAGUUAGCACAAACAUGCUCUUCACCUCCUUAAUUGCUCAGGCAUUCUUGACCAUGCUCUGCAAAAUGCAGGCUUACAUUUUCUUCUUCUUCUCAGCCUGGAUUGUUGUGAUGGGAUUGUUCGUCAUAUUCCUUUUGCCAGAAACCAAAGGAGUCCCUAUUGAUUCUAUGGUGGAAGAUGUAUGGAAGAAGCAUCCUGUUUGGAAGAAACUCUUCAAGAAUGAAUGAUCAUUCAAAGGAUUGGCUUAAUAUCCCUCCUAUGUUUAAAUUGGUUUAUAGUCGUCUUUGAUUCAGUGAUAUAGUGCUAAACUUAUGGCAUUUAUUGCCUACAACCUAUCCUCCUAUCCUUUGUAAAUUUGUUUUCAAUUAUCCAUGUAUCGAGGUUUAGUGCUCCAAUCAAAGCAAUUGGAUGAAUUGUUGUGGUUCGUCCAGUGAGCUUUGAAAGAGUACUAGCUUCUAUCAUCUUUUCCUUUUAAUGAAUUCCAUGUCUUCAUUGUUUUGUUGUAAAAAUAUGAAAAUUUAUGAAAUCGAAAAAGAACAAUUCCUCUACUUCGACAUCCAGUUGAUUGUUUCGUUAUGUGAGCUGUAUGUCAUUGUUCGUUGCAAAUUAAAAGAUUGACAUCCAUGUUGUUGGUUUAAAAGUGAACCACAAGCCAUUCCUUAGAUGGUUUGCGGUUGUAAAUAAAGGAAAAGAAUAUAUAAGUAGUAGCUAAUUAACUGGAGUUGAUUAGAGAAUUAAAAUGAGUUAUAAUGAAGUUUCAACCAUGGGAAAGAGGAAGAAGAAGAUAUUUGAAGAUAAAUCUCAUUAUUAGGUAUGCAAAUAUUUAUCUUGAGAAUCCGGUGAUGCUUACAUUGGAACUAUUAUAAACAAACAUAACAUUUUAAUCCAAGGAUUGGAUGAGGGCAAAUUACUAAUUCCAGUUAAUAUGUUUGAUUCUUUUAAUUGUAUAUAAAUUAAAGAGAAUAUUUUUAAGACUUAUAUCCUAUCAAUUUUUUUUACGCAGAUCUUUAGGUGGAUAAAUAGUCUUAAUUCUCUCUCUUCUCUCUCCUCCAUGUGCAUGUUAGUGGUGAGUGCUAACAUACGCCAUCGCCGAAAUGCCUAGAAGGGGGAAUUGGAGGACAGCGAUCAAGGAGGCAAUAACGGAAUUGACGGAAUGAAUUACUGAGGACGGGAAUCUAGGGUUGGGAUCUGGAAAAGUGCGAUCAAUUACGAAAAUUCUGAGCAAAACACCAGGACCGGAGAAGACUAUCGGAGAAAUCAACACGCCAACAAAUCGGACGGUACUACAGAAAAAGAAUGUAAACGUAACACUGGAAGUGCUGCAACAGAUGGCAAGGACUAUACCUAGGUUGGAGGGGAAAAACCUGCAAACUACUGUUCGAUUGGAGAAUUUAACUUCUCCAAAUACUGGAACACAGCAGGGCAGGGCAAAUGAUAUGAUUCAAGGAAGUGAAGUGAUUGAAGCAAAAACUAAUGAAAAGGAGCCUAUCAUGGCGAAACAACAAAUAGAGAAGGCAAACAUUGGGAAGGAGAAUAAGAACUGGGCAAACCUGUUUGAAGGGAAUAGAAUGGCUGCUAAAGGUAUGAAUCUCACUUUUAUUGCUCCUCAAAUUCGCAAUGGUGUCAAAAUUGUGCAAUUGAAAAAGGAAGAGGUGGAUAAGGAGACAGAGAAAUGGCGUAAUGCUGUAAUAAUGUAUGUAAUUGGGAAAACACCUACAAUUGGGUUGUCGAACAAUUCAUUGCAUUACAGUGAAACUUCACAGCCAAACCUAAAGUUUACGUGCACAAUGAAGGCUACUUCAUUGUCAAGUUCACAUGCAAGGAAGACCAGAAUGAGGUCCUGUUCUCAGGGCCAUACACAAUCAAUAACAAACCUAUAAUAACCAAAGUUUAGACUCCGAAUUUCAAUUUUGAUGAGGAGGUAUUAAAAAUCAUACCCUUAUGGAUUAAACUUCCAAAUUUACCACUCAAUUGUUGGAGUAUGAACUCAUUAAGCAGAAUAGGGAGUAGACUAAGGAACCCUUUAUAUGAUGAUGAUUGUACAACAAAGGUCGAAAAGGUCUCAUAUACAAGGAUGCUUAUUGAGAUGGAUGUCACUCAACCAUUGCCAACAAAGGUGACUGUUGAAGAUCCUAAUGGAGAGAUAUUUGAACAGGAGAUAACAUACGAUUGGAGACCAUUGUAUUGUCCUACAUGCUUGCAAGUAGGGCAUUGCUGCCAACAAAAAGUCCAAACCACAAGGAAUCGGGAACAACAGCCACAAACUAUGAAGAAGCUUACGAAGCAGGUAUGUGUGAAAGCAGGGCAAAGCAAAACUGUAACACAGGUGCAAACUAAAAAUGACAAGGAAGUACCAGACAAUAAGGGGAAAGCCAAAGAAGGUGAGGAAGGUUGGACAGAAGUGCGUGGAAGAUCAGCUGUGAAGACAUUUAAAACAGGCGAACUAGAGAGUACAGAACAGCUGGUUAGCAUUAAUGGUUUCAAUUCACUUAGUGAAGAAGCAAAUCAACAGAGAAUGGAACCACAACAUGCACAGUAUAAAGAGGAGGAGGAAGUAGCAUAGGGGUGGAGGACAUGACUCAUUUUCCUUUUCUACCAAGAUGAAGAUAGUUACUUGGAAUGUUCAAGGGGUGAAUAAGUUGUAUAAACAAAAGGAGACAAAUGAGUUUAUUUGAGAGAAUAACAUUAGUAUUAUAGCAAUAAUAGAGCAUAGAACUCAAGAGAGUAAAGUUGCAAGUUUAUUUAAUAAAAUUGCACCUGGAUGGGACUGGAUCACUAAUGAAUCUCGUACACAAAGAGGGAGAAUAUGGAUGCUAUGGAACCCUAACCUUACAGUGAUAACUGAACUGAAUAUGCAUCCUCAAUUCAUACAUGUUCAAGUGAAAGGGAUAGCUGUGAACAUUGAAUAUCAAUUCACUGCAGUGUAUGACUUACAUAGUAUAAAGGACAGGCUGGUCUUGUGGCAACAACUGGAGCAAAUAGAGUCAUGGAAGCAAGGACCAUGAUUAAUAAUUAGGGACUCCAAUGCCAUAUUGAAUGUAGAAGACAGAGUACAUGGUAAAAAAGUGUAGGAUGCAGAAACAAGAGAUUUCAGAAAGUUUAUGGUAGAAGCUGAGAUGACAAAACUACAAACAAUUGGAAGAUCAUACACAUGGAGCAAUAAUCACACAUAUAGUAAGAUUGAUAGAUCCAUAGUCAACUCAAACUGGAUAACUACAAUGCCACUUCUAUCAGUGCAAGUUAUGGAUCCUAUCUUCUCAUAUCACUCUCCACUCUACAUUAAAUUGGGUAGGCCAAAAAAUAGAUGCAGGAAAGCAUUUAGAUUCAUGAACUGUAUAGCAGAACACCUUAAUUUCACCAAGGUAGUAGAAAACAGCUGGAGGCAAACUAAUAAUGCACACUAUAUGAAGGACAUCUGGGAGAAGCUAAAGCAUGUUAAGAAUGCCAUCAAAGAACUGAAUGUCAAAGAGUUUAAUGGGGUCACAAAAAGAAUCAAAGACAUCAGAGACAAGCUUAAAAAUGUACAGGAAGACGUGAGAACUCCAAACCACUCACAAGACUUAUUUAAGCAGAAAAGGAGCUGAGAAUACAACUUGAGAAAUGGUAUUUGAUAGAAGAAAGCAUAUACAAACAGAAAUUCAGGGUGCAAUGGCUAAAGUUAGGAGACUCCAAUUCAGCAUACUUCUUUGCAAGCAUGAAGAAUAGGAGAUCACAAAAUCAUAUCAAGGCUUUAGUGUCUACUGAAGACAGAAUUUUGCAAACAGAGAAGGGCAUAGAUGAGGAAAUACUCAAAUUCUACAAGUAGUUACUAGGAAAUGUAAAUACAACACUGCCAGUAAUACAGCCUAAUAUAAUGAACACAUGUUAUAUACUUAAUAAAAGGCAGCAACAAGCACUCAUUAGACCUUUUGACAAAGAAGAAGUAUAUAAGACACUACAGGGGAUAGAUGAAGCUAAAGCACCAGGGAUAGAUGGUUUCAACUCAUGCUUCUUCAAAAAAAGCCUGGACAACAGUUGGAGAGGAGGUGACCAAUACAGUGCUGAAGUUCUUUGAAACUCAAGACAUGUACAUGCCAAUAAACUGUACUGCUAUUACACUAGUUCCAAAAGUAAAGAACCCAUCUUAUGUGAAGGAAUUCAGACCAAUUUCCCGCUGCACUACAAUAUACAAAAUCAUAUAAAAAAUGCUAACCAACAGACUACAAGGGGUUAUGGAUGACAUGAUUGAUAAAGGACAUGCUGCUUUUGUACCUGGCAGGGUGAUCAAUGAUAAUAUUAUACUUAGCCAUGAGCUAAUAAAGUGGUAUGGGAGAAAAGAAACAUCACCUAGAUGCAUGAUCAAAAUUGACAUGCCAAAAGCCUAUGACUCACUAGAGUGGGUGUUCCUGGAGCAGGUGCUUAUUGGGUUGAAUUUCCUUGAGACAUUUGUGAAAUGGAUUAUGACCUGUGUACAAACAGUAUCCUACUCUAUUGUAGUUAAUGGUAAGGCAACUACUCCAUUUGCUGUAAAGAGAGGGAUGAGGCAAGGGGACCCCCUAUCUUCAUAUCUUUUUGUAAUAGAAAUGGAAUACCUUACCAGGCUGCUGAAGACUCUGAAGAGUAUGCAAAGCUAAACCUAGUGCAGUUGGGAUUUGCAGAUGACCUGCUCCUAUUCUGCAGGGGAGAUGUGAUAUCUGCAAAGCUACUGUAUGUUUGUUUUGACAGUUUUUCUAGGGCUUCUAGUUAGUAGCUAACCAGGAGAAAAGUUUUAUCUAUUUUGGAGGAGUUGCUCCUAACAUACAGCAUGGAAUCUUGCAAACUUUGGGCUUCCAAACUAGCACAUUGCCCUUUAGAUACUUAGGUGUACCUCUGAGCUCUAAGAGGCUAUCAGUUGGGCAAUGUCAACCACUAUUAGACAAGAUGACAGGAAGGAUCACUACCUGAAAAGUAAAACUAAUGUCUUAUGCAAGUAGGUUGCAUAUGAUUAAGAGUGUACUUACAACUAUACAAAAUUUCUGGUCUCAAAUAUUCAUAUUGCCUAAAAAGAUCAUUCAGGUGAUUGAAGCAAUUUGCAGAAGCUACCUCUGGACAGGAGCUGCAGAAUGUUCCAAAAAAGCUCUCAUUGCCUAAAAAAAGUUAUGCUUGCCUAAGGUUGUUGGUGGAUUGAACAUAACAAACAUUGGCUUAUGAAACAAAGCAGCUAUACUAAAGCACCACUGGAGUCUUGGGCAAAAAAGAUAGACUGUGGAUCAAAUGGGUCCACACAUAUUAUAUAAAGGGGAAUAUGAUGAAUGAAGUAAAACCAAAGCAGGCAUCCUGGGUUAUGCAAAAGAUCUUCAAUACAGGAAAAUAUUGAAGAGAUUGGGCUAACAGUAGAUGAGACUAUGAGCAGGGACAAGUUCUCCAUAAGGCAAAUGUAUAACAACAUACGAGGUGAUUAUUCCAGAGUUCAUUGGAGGAGGCUGAUAUGUAAUAAUCAAAGCAGUCCAAGGUGGUCCUUCAUUUUAUAUAUGGUUGUACAGAAUAGGCUAUAUACCAGAGAUAGGCUCAUCAAAUGGGGGAUGCAGAGUAGCCCGAUAUGUAUUUAAUGCGAGCAAGAACAGGAAACCACGCAACACUUAUUUUUCGAAUGCAACAUAGCAGUUGGAAUCUGGCAAAAACUACUCACCUGGCAAGGUGUCAGCAGAGCUGCAAUGGGAUGGUCUGAGGAGAUAACAUGGGCAAUAAAGAAUGCACGAGGGAAAUGUGGGAAAACUGAAAUAUAUAGAAUGACUUUAGCUGGGAGCAUUUACUAUAUCUGGCAGGAAAGGAACCUAAAACUAUUCCAGAACAAACGUAAAUCAGAGGAUGUGAUUGUAAAGAUGAUUAUACAAGAUAUACAUUGCAGAGGAAGCAAAGUACCAAGACUAGCAAAGCAGAUGGCAAGCCUAAACUUCUAUCCAUGAAGCAAUAAGGAGAAGGUCUAACCAGGUGCAAUAAGAUAAAUGAUACUCAGUAGUAAAGAUUUCUGAAGGUCAGAGUUAGUAGAAGAGACUAGAGAUGCAUGCUAAAGUUGGGACUGCAUGUCCAACUUUAGAAGGAUGACAUACUUGUACAUAGUAUUCAGAUAAAUAGAAAACUUAUUUACCAAAAAAAAGAAUUAUAUCCUAUCAUUGUACUUAAGAUGAAAUAAGAAAAGCCGAUAAGAUAAAAUUAUUAGGAACUUCUACAUUGUAUGUUCUUUUUAAGAAUUACUAUUAACAUAGAUUACACAACUUCUGGUAUACAGUGGGCGAAGCUAGGAUUUUCCUCAAGGAGAUUCAAACUUGAAGUAAAUAAAUAAAAAUUUGAUAAAGGGUGUUCAAUAUAUGUUAUGUACAUCUAAAACGUAAUAUUUUACUUAUAUAUACAGUGUAAUUUUUCGAUAAAGGGCGGUCAAUUGACCACCCUAACCAUAGUUGGCUUCGCCCCUGCUGGUAUAUUAAAAAGUAGUGCUACUAGUUUAAAUGGAGUAACAUUUAUAGCAUGUUUAAAUAUUUCCGAUCCAGAAUGUAAAUUGAGUGUAUGGAUAGUAACUGUAAUAAAGAAUUUCAACCUGGAUAGUUAUAAGGGUCACUUUUCCAUUUUUAUACUCCACUUAACAAAAUCUAUAGUUUACCUGAGAUAUUACACCCGAGCAUUAACCAAGAUCCAAACGACACAUGUCAAAAGAAAACUAAAGGCUGAGGACUUCACUGACUUGGUUAGAAUGCGUAUCAAAAUCACACCUUCUAAUUGGUCUGUAUCUGAAUAACCCUAUCCAAUAUCCUUAUCUCCACCACAUAUAUCCGAAUAACAAAAAAUGAACUCUCUUCUCUCAUUCUCAUUCUGCACAAAUACAUCUCCAUUUCCCUAACUUUCCUAAGCCAAUAAUUCUUCAAUGGCCAUGGCAACUCAAGCUUCUCUCUUCACUCCAGCUCUCUCUGCCCCAAAAUCCUCUUCCCCAUGGAAACAAUCCCUCGCUUCCUUCUCUCCUAAGCAACUCAAAUCCACUGUUUCCGCUCCCCGUCCCAUUAGAGCCAUGGCCGAAGAAGCCGCCGCCGCCGCCACAAAAGAAGCAGAGGCUCCAGUGGGCUUCACCCCACCACAAUUGGACCCAAAUACACCUUCCCCGAUCUUCGGUGGCAGCACCGGUGGGCUUCUUCGCAAGGCCCAAGUUGAGGAAUUCUACGUAAUCACUUGGGAAUCACCUAAAGAGCAGAUCUUUGAAAUGCCAACUGGUGGUGCUGCUAUUAUGAGGGAAGGUGCUAAUUUGUUGAAAUUGGCG